CGGGUUGUAAAGCUCUGUGGGGAGGGAAGAUAAGUUCCACCUAAUACGUGGAGCGAUGACGGUACCUCCUUAGCAAGCACCGGCUAACUCUGUGCCAGCAGCCGCGGUAAGACAGAGGGUGCAAACGUUGUUCGGAAUUACUGGGCGUAAAGCGCGUGUAGGCGGCUUUGCAAGUCGGGCGUGAAAUCCCAUGGCUCAACCAUGGAAGUGCACUCGAAACUGCAGAGCUAGAGUCCUGGAGAGGAAGGUGGAAUGCUUGGUGUAGAGGUGAAAUUCGUAGAUAUCAAGCGGAACACCGGUGGCGAAGGCGGCCUUCUGGACAGUGACUGACGCUGAGACGCGAAAGCGUGGGGAGCAAACAGGAUUAGAUACCCUGGUAGUCCACGCCGUAAACGAUGAGUGCUAGGUGUCACGGGCUUUGACCCUCGUGGUGCCGAAGCUAACGCGUUAAGCACUCCGCCUGGGGAGUACGGCCGCAAGGCUA
This 484-nucleotide ribosomal RNA is filed under the name uncultured Pseudomonadota bacterium. Its description in RNAcentral is "bacterial SSU rRNA". It matches the Rfam family "Bacterial small subunit ribosomal RNA", at positions 419 to 896 of the family's 1533-position model. The record is from RNAcentral. Lineage: Bacteria; Pseudomonadati; Pseudomonadota.